This is a long non-coding RNA of Perognathus longimembris pacificus (Pacific pocket mouse), 236 nucleotides long. RefSeq lists it as uncharacterized. The transcript has 3 exons. The record is from RefSeq and is a predicted model, not a curated record. Lineage: Eukaryota; Metazoa; Chordata; Mammalia; Rodentia; Heteromyidae.
AUGUGUGUGUGUGUGUGUGUGUGUGUGUGUGUGUAUGCUUGUCCUGGGGCUUGAACUCAGAGUCUGGGGACUGUCCCUGAGCUUUUGUGCUCAAAACUAGCACUCUACCACUUAAGACACAGCCCCCCUUCUAGCUUUUGUGGUGCUUAACUGGAUGUAAGAAUUUCAUAGACUUUCCUGCCCAGGCUGGUUUUGAACCAUAGUCCUCAGAUCUCAACCUCCUGAGUAGUUAGGAU